RNAcentral lists this ribosomal RNA (402 nucleotides) under uncultured bacterium. RNAcentral's name for it is "bacterial SSU rRNA". It matches the Rfam family "Bacterial small subunit ribosomal RNA", at positions 370 to 772 of the family's 1533-position model. The record is from RNAcentral.
AAUGGGCGCAAGCCUGAUGCAGCGACGCCGCGUGAGGGAUGACGGCUUUCGGGUUGUAAACCUCUUUUACUAUUGAACAAGGCGCCAUAUUGGUGGUGUUGAGGGUAGGUGGUGAAUAAGCGCCGGCUAACUACGUGCCAGCAGCCGCGGUAAUACGUAGGGCGCGAGCGUUGUCCGGAAUUAUUGGGCGUAAAGAGCUCGUAGGCGGCUUGUCGCGUCUGCUGUGAAAUCCUGGGGCUUAACUCUGGGCGUGCAGUGGGUACGGGCAGGCUAGAGUGCGGUAGGGGUGAUUGGAAUUCCUGGUGUAGCGGUGGAAUGCGCAGAUAUCAGGAGGAACACCGAUGGCGAAGGCAGGUCACUGGGCCGUUACUGACGCUGAGGAGCGAAAGCAUGGGGAGCGAA